GACCAAUGGCCCUCGAGUGCAAAGGUAAAAGGAAGCUUGACUUCAAGACCCAUUGUCAAGCAAGGAUGAAAGACAGCCUCAGUGAUCCGACCAUGCUGAGGAAAAAGGGCGUCGCUCAAC
This 120-nucleotide ribosomal RNA is filed under the name Olea europaea subsp. europaea. RNAcentral describes it as "LSU_rRNA_bacteria". The record is from RNAcentral. Lineage: Eukaryota; Viridiplantae; Streptophyta; Magnoliopsida; Lamiales; Oleaceae.